Molecule: ribosomal RNA, 791 nt
Filed under: unidentified microorganism
Description: bacterial SSU rRNA
Rfam family: Bacterial small subunit ribosomal RNA
Source: RNAcentral
ACACAUGCAGUCGNACGAUGGAUAGCCCAGGCUUGCUGGGUGGAUUAGUGGCGAACGGGUGAGUAACACGUGAGUAACCUGCCCCUGACUCUGGGAUAAGCGUUGGAAACGACGUCUAAUACUGGAUAUGAUCACUGGCCGCAUGGUCUGGUGGUGGAAAGAUUUUUUGGUUGGGGAUGGACUCGCGGCCUAUCAGCUUGUUGGUGAGGUAAUGGCUCACCAAGGCGACGACGGGUAGCCGGCCUGAGAGGGUGACCGGCCACACUGGGACUGAGACACGGCCCAGACUCCUACGGGAGGCAGCAGUGGGGAAUAUUGCACAAUGGGCGAAAGCCUGAUGCAGCAACGCCGCGUGAGGGAUGACGGCCUUCGGGUUGUAAACCUCUUUUAGUAGGGAAGAAGCGAAAGUGACGGUACCUGCAGAAAAAGCACCGGCUAACUACGUGCCAGCAGCCGCGGUAAUACGUAGGGUGCAAGCGUUGUCCGGAAUUAUUGGGCGUAAAGAGCUCGUAGGCGGUUUGUCGCGUCUGCUGUGAAAUCCCGAGGCUCAACCUCGGGCUUGCAGUGGGUACGGGCAGACUAGAGUGCGGUAGGGGAGAUUGGAAUUCCUGGUGUAGCGGUGGAAUGCGCAGAUAUCAGGAGGAACACCGAUGGCGAAGGCAGAUCUCUGGGCCGUAACUGACGCUGAGGAGCGAAAGCAUGGGGAGCGAACAGGAUUAGAUACCCUGGUAGUCCAUGCCGUAAACGUUGGGCGCUAGAUGUAGGGACCUUUCCACGGUUUCUGUGUCGUA